CCCGUCUCCCCCGCAGCCCUCGGCCCCGAUUCAACCUCUCCCCUCCCCCCUUUCCCGAAAAAUUUCUCCACCACCUCGCUGGCCCAAAUCUCAAUCCGCCGCCGACGCUCCCCUCCUCGUCAGCCUCGUGGUCGCAGUGGCCGAAGUCCUGUGGACGCCGCCGCUCUCCUCCUCGCCAGCCUUGUGGUCGCGGUGGCCAUAGCCGCCGGCCCUGCACUCUCCUCUUCAGGAUGCCCCUCGUGCCACCCUCGUGUUGAUUGUUGGGCAUGAGAGCCACCAUCGACUGGUUGAUCCACCUCGCUAGCUCGUGUCCGUCGAGGUCGUUGACUCCUCCAUUCCUCAAUUGUUAAGCUUCGCUGCAGCAGACUCCCCUUGGAGAUUCUGUUUCGACCACAUGCAUGACCCUGUAGGUAAAUUACUUCUUUCCCCGUGGGUGCCUGGGUGGUCUUCAGCCUGCAGAUGGGCUUCUAUUGUACUGACGACGAUACUGCUGCGAACAUCGAUCAUCCUUGUCCCGCGACUGGUGAACCAGUUGAAGUCCACAGUGAUGUAUAGCAUCAUGAGCUUAAUUAUAUGGCUACUUUUUGUUACUAUUUCUACAUACAUGCUUUAUUAUAUCACGGUUCUGCUCUUUGGGUAUGCACUUGAUUUAUGGGAGGAGCCCCAAACUUUUAUUAAAGAACUUACCAAUCUUGAACCUUCAGAAUUAAGACUGGUGGAGUACCUGUCAUUUUUAGGCAAUUGGCAGUGAAGACAGCCUUGCAUCAGACAUAUGUCAUAAACUUAGAACAUACUGUUGGUUGGAUACGUGACGAUGUAGUUCGGUCACCAUUGGUGAAGUGGAUAAUCUUAGAACAUACUAAUACUUUUAGGCAAUUUGUCGCGAAUCAGCUAUAAUGACUUAGUCCAGAGGUGGAGCGGAUAGUUGGCACCGUGCAGUUCAACGAUCCCUACAUCGAUCCCUUAGAUGUGAGCAAGCUGCCUUUGGAGCUACUCAAAGCAAGACAGGAAGCAUGGCAUGCUCAAGCUCAAGUCGUCUCAAUGGCUCGCCCCCGAAAUGGAUGACGCGCUCAAGUGAUGAGUUGUGCGCACGAGUGGUCGAAGCAGAAGAAGAAAGGUCGUCCACAGUGUAGUCUUGCUAAUUGUGGUCUUAUAUACUUAGCUGAGCAAAGCAGAUGAAGCAAGGAAGAGAUGUACGAGUAACAAGUUAUCAACUAUGUAUUUCACUGGCAUGUUUUUCAGUAGUGCAAGUGAGAUUUUUAUUUUGACCAUUAAUUAGUGUGAAUUAUGAUGAUCGCCAUUGAUCAAUUAAUGUAAGGGAUCUGUCUUACGUAAAAGCAUUGGAUAUGAUGUAUACAAGCAUCUGCCACUAGAUCUCUUUCUAUGUUUUCAUCUGUUGUAUGUUCCCUCCUAAUAAAUUUUUUUCAUGAAUAAUAACAGGCACAUGGUCCCACCAAGAAGACUACUUCUGUGCUUGAACUAUUCCAAAUGGCUGCUAUUUUUUGGGAGAAGAACAGCAGCUCUGGAGCAUCCAAAGAUGAUUGAUUCAUCGAUCAAUGGUUGAUAGCAAUUAGCUCAGAGAACAGAACAACAUUGCAACUGACAAUCUUGUGCAUUACAUCUACUUUGAUCGACAAAAUAUUCCUAAGGGUAGUUUCAGUUUGAUUUGGGCAUCUACAUUAUCUUACAAUCUUGUUUGUAAAUAAUUUUUCAGGUUUGUCUGUACGCCGUCCCAUUCAACCCUCGUCUCUGUCAGCGUCGCCCUACCAUGGCACGGGUGAACUAGAAUGUAUCAUCAAUUCGUCACCCAUAAGCAACGAAAUCUGAUGUGGUUUUUGUUCCUGAUCCCAUGGUUACUCUGAAUUUUGAAAGUUGAUUCUGCAGUUUAAAAACCUGUGUUGACCUUUUCCGGCCGCUUCACCAUAUUGAUUUACUACAAGUUAUUGUGGUUUUCACUGAUUUGGAAUAUGUGGCUAUAUAUCCGUGGGCGUGUUUGCAAAAUUUGGUGUGCUUCUAGCUCCCAAUAUGUGUUUGUGCUUGAUGAAUUGUUCGCCUCAUGGUAUUUACUUGUAAUUUUUCCUUUAUUAUUAGCAUCUGAGUAUGAAUGCUUGCAGGUGUGGGAGGAGCGGGACUAGGUUGUCGUCCAAGUUGCUCCACACCCUUUGGCAUUGUUGCGUCUAGACCAUCGCUCAGCUCCCACAUCUGUAUGCCUGGUCUAAGCACUUCAAUUUUUGUUAUAUGGUGGAUAUGCAUUUGCUACAGUUUUGUUCAGGACUUCUCCUUUGUCAUUGGAUUAAAAAGACAAACUCUUAUACCAGCUAUUUCUUGUUUGUCCUUUCUGAAAUCGAGGAUUCACAUUCUAAUGUGCUGGGAGGUGCUUCUGUGUUUUUAUUGUUCAUGAAUGGCAUGACCAAGAAGGAAGGGAGGAAAUGUUUUAUAAAUCAAGACAAACAUGUUGAAGCUUGGUAAUGUUGCAGAGAAUUUAAGCAGAAGUACAAUAUUUCCAUGAAAGUUUCACUUAUUCUCUGUUCGUGUUGUUGGAAAUGGCAAUCACUUGAUCUUUAUAUUAUGCGGCUGCCUAUCUAAAAACCUUAAUUGUGGCCUUAAUAAACAUUACCAUUUGACAAAGUAAAAGGUCCUUCUUCAUUCAAAUAUUUUCUUAUCGUGUUUGUAGGAUUUGGCCAUGAUUCUCUUUCCUCAUUUCUAUAUUUGGUGUUUUGUUGUGACCCAAAGUUGACCGUUUUACAAGUUAUCUAUUGUAUAUGUUGAUGCUUUUGUUUCUAAGAUGUAUUCUCAAGUGAUACUCACACAUCUUAUUUUCCUCUCUAUGCAACGAGAGGAAUGAAAAUAUGAUUGAAUUAUGAAUCUGAUAUUAUGCGGCCUAACCAUUAUAUGGCCUCUUGUGAAUUUUUAUUCUCCUGGUUGUGGGCUACCAUCUGGGAUAAAGGAGGCAAAGGUGACCAAAGCAACAUCUUCCCCACCUUGGAGCACCAAAUAUGGUGUCUCGGCAUCGAAAGAUUGUACCAUGAGGAUUGGAGUUUGAACGGGAUGCAGUUAAUGUGAGAGGAAGAGAUGUCUCGCAUGCACUGUUGACGAGCUCGGGAUACUGUACAAGCUAGAUGGAGUUGCCAUGUCUCUUAUACAUAUUUGUUGUCGCUCAUAGAACAUUAUAAAUUAGUAUAACAUGGAUUUCAUUUAUCAAGUAAAUUGUAUGAU
This is an RNA transcript of Triticum urartu, 3216 nucleotides long. RefSeq lists it as uncharacterized. The record is from RefSeq and is a predicted model, not a curated record. NCBI's taxonomy places the organism in Eukaryota, Viridiplantae, Streptophyta, Magnoliopsida, Poales, Poaceae.